CCUGUCCCCAGGACCAUCAUUGUCUUCAUCUUCAUCUUCAUUGAGGAAGCUGAAGCUCUCCAGGGCAUGCUCCACAGUGAUGCUGAGACUGGAGGCCCGGCUGCGAGUCAAGCCUUGUCUCUGCUGAGGAUAUAAAGGCACCAUCCCGGAGACGCCGCUGGACACAGUAUGCUUCAUACAACUCAUCGAUCUGGGAAGGGUCUUGCUAUAUGUUCAGGCUGACUUCAAACUCCAGGCAAUCCUCCUGGCUCAGCCUCCUGAGUACUGGAAUACUGGAAUUACAGGAUCAAUAUACUGUUCCAGAAGUUACCAUCAAGAGGAAGUGGGCUAUCAAGCAAGAAGUAGAAGCCUAAGGAAUAAGGGAAGGCCUUCGGUUUGCUGCUGAGGAAAUCUUCUAGGAUCCAUUCUUGGAAAGAACCAAGUUGGACACAAGCUUCCAUCUUCAACCUUUGCAGCAUUGCCGGUUUUAUGAAAAAAAAUUCUGGGUUUGAAUUACAGUGGCAUCUUAUCACUUGUAGUAAGAUAGAGGACCUGGGGCUUUUGGCUGCAUCUAAGACAUCUCUGGGUUGGCUGCAGCCCUUCUCAGCUUAUUCUUCCAGACUCUCCCGAACUCCUUGACCUGGUGCCAAACUCUGGCCUAAUGUGAGAAAAGCAUCCUAUGGGCCAGCAUUCACCCUGAAUAUUAGGAUGGGUCAUUCCAAGAUAAGCCUCAAAGAAAAUUAUGAGGGUCAGUUUUCUGGUCCCUGUAGGGAGCGGUGCAACCACCCCAUUGCUGCCUCCCCGCCUCCCUCUCCUAUGGGCAUAUGAUGCACCUGCCUACAUUAACCAUAAUCCUCUCCUGCUUACAUCACAUACCCAGAUGUGAUGAUGACCCAUCAGAAACCACCCCGUAGCCUCUUCCUAUCCCACCAGCCCACUCUUGGCCCAUAAAGGAUGCGACCACUUCCUGAAUAAAUGAGCCUUGAUCGGAUUCUCUCGACUUGCUUCAAUCUCUUUGUCUCCCCCCUGUUUUAUUUCAUCCCCGUUCCCCCUCCAGGUAUAUACCCCACGGAUUGAUCCGUGGGCCGGAUCAAGUGGCGCCCAGCGUGAGGGCUCCUGGCACGGGGGAGUCAACGAGGAAGCCAUUCGAGAACGUCAGCUAAAAGUGGAAGCACAUUGAAUCAAGGACGGAGGCCUGCGCGGACGACUGCCCAAUGUGCUGCCCGAGUCACAGUGAAUGAAUGGCAACUCCAUUCCCUUUCCUGGACAUGGGUCAAGCAUUGAGCGAACAUAAAUUGUUCGUGAGAGGCCUUAGCAAGGCAUUAAAGACAAGAGGCCCAUUCAGGUACACUAUCACCAGCUGGAGAUGGCAGAUCAACAAACCUACCGGGAAGGAAUUCCCACGAGUGGUCCAUAUGAUGAUGCGACUUAACCACCCUGAGGCAAUGGACAGGCAGCCAGAGACGGGCAACUAGGACAUACAUGUUACUCCAUUGGCCACCCAAGACAGGCACAGGACAGACUGCUGUCCUGCAAGCUCAUGACGGGUAAGGUCUGGUUGGGUUCAUGUAAUGAGGUUCCUUGACCUAAGACAGGCGCUGUCCUCACAGGGCCUUCCAUACUCCUGAUUAAAUAAUAUAGAAAGGGAGGAGAUGUAGGGAGCGGUGCGACCGCCCCAUUGCUGCCUCCCCGCUUCCCUCUCCAAUGGGCAUAUGAUGCACCUGCCUACAUUAACCAUAAUCCUCUCCUGCUUACGUCACAUACCCGGACGUGACGAUGACCCAUCAGAAACCACCCCGUAGCCUAUUCCUGUCCCACCAGCCCGCCCUUGGCCCAUAAAGGAUGUGACCACUUCCUGAAUAAAUGAGGCUUGAUCGGAUUCUCUCGACUUGCUUCAAUCUC
This is a long non-coding RNA of Cavia porcellus (domestic guinea pig), 1881 nucleotides long. RefSeq lists it as uncharacterized. Lineage: Eukaryota; Metazoa; Chordata; Mammalia; Rodentia; Caviidae. The record is from RefSeq and is a predicted model, not a curated record. The transcript is spliced from 6 exons.